Non-coding RNA from Brassica rapa (field mustard), 92 nucleotides. NCBI's taxonomy places the organism in Eukaryota, Viridiplantae, Streptophyta, Magnoliopsida, Brassicales, Brassicaceae. The record is from Rfam.
UUUGGGAUAUGAUGAUAAAAAGAAAGAAAGAGGUUGAUGGCACCUUUGCCUCUGAAACAUGUCUUUAUUUUGCACGUCAGUCUUAUCCUAUU